This 253-nucleotide ribosomal RNA is filed under the name uncultured bacterium. RNAcentral describes it as "partial 16S ribosomal RNA". It matches the Rfam family "Bacterial small subunit ribosomal RNA", at positions 524 to 776 of the family's 1533-position model. The record is from RNAcentral.
UACAGGGGGGGCAAGCGUUGUUCGGAAUUACUGGGCGUAAAGGGUUCGUAGGUGGCCACUUGAGUCAGACGUGAAAUCCCUCAGCUUAACUGGGGAACUGCGUCUGAUACUGAGUGGCUUGAGUGCAGGAGAGGAAUGCGGAAUUCCAGGUGUAGCGGUGAAAUGCGUAGAUAUCUGGAGGAAUACCGGUGGCGAAGGCGGCGUUCUGGACCAUUACUGACACUGAAUCGCGAAAGCUAGGGGAGCAAACGGG